RNAcentral lists this microRNA precursor (74 nucleotides) under Myotis brandtii (Brandt's bat). Its description in RNAcentral is "mir-9193 microRNA precursor family". It matches the Rfam family "mir-9193 microRNA precursor family". Lineage: Eukaryota; Metazoa; Chordata; Mammalia; Chiroptera; Vespertilionidae. The record is from Rfam by way of RNAcentral.
UCAGGGGGCGGGGGGUCCCUCAGCCCAGAUUGUGAGAGGGUGCAGGCCAGGCUGAAGGACCCCACUAGUGCACA